UCACAGGGUGUUUGUUGUGAGGGGGGAAGGGCAAGGAGAUUGUAAGCCCCUUUGAGUCUCCUGCAGGAGAGAAAGGGGGGAUAUAAAUCCAAACUCUUCUUCUUCUCUUCUUCUUAAUGUUCCUGCUCCUUGUUUAUAUCCCUCGAGGAAGAAGGUGCACAAUGGAUUAUUGUUGGGAGAGAUGCUCCGAGGCGCGGUUCGUGUUGACACCGCUCCUGAAGUGGGGGGCGGGGAGGUGUGAUCCUUCUUGGUGUCCCCCUUCCAGCUGCUAAGCCGCUGUUGUAGCAGAGGAGGUAGCUGGUACAAGGCCUUUGGGCCUGCGAGAAGCACUUUUGUCAGAUGGAGAUUUUCCUCCCAGGUGUCUCUGGGAUCCCAUUUUGCGUCUGUCCCCUCUACUGAGCUUUCUCAACAGGGCAGUCACCCUAUUUAAAAAAAAAAUAAACCCCAGUAAGGCUUUGAUGCUUUUAACAGCUGCAUGCUAUGCAGAAAUGCAGCA
This is a long non-coding RNA of Sphaerodactylus townsendi, 496 nucleotides long. RefSeq lists it as uncharacterized. The record is from RefSeq and is a predicted model, not a curated record. Lineage: Eukaryota; Metazoa; Chordata; Lepidosauria; Squamata; Sphaerodactylidae. The transcript has 3 exons.